GACGAACGCUGGCGGCGUGCUUAACACAUGCAAGUCGAACGGAAAGGCCCUGCUUUUGUGGGGUGCUCGAGUGGCGAACGGGUGAGUAACACGUGAGUAACCUGCCCUUGACUUUGGGAUAACUUCAGGAAACUGGGGCUAAUACCGGAUAGGAGCUCCUGCUGCAUGGUGGGGGUUGGAAAGUUUCGGCGGUUGGGGAUGGAUUCGCGGCUUAUCAGCUUGUUGGUGGGGUAGUGGCUUACCAAGGCUUUGACGGGUAGCCGGCCUGGGAGGGUGACCGGCCACAUUGGGACUGCGAUACGGCCCAGACUCCUACGGGAGGCAGCAGUGGGGAAUAUUGCACAAUGGGCGGAAGCCUGAUGCAGCAACGCCGCGUGCGGGAUGACGGCCUUCGGGUUGUAAACCGCUUUCGCCUGUGACGAAGCGUGAGUGACGGUAAUGGGUAAAGAAGCACCGGCUAACUACGUG
This 468-nucleotide ribosomal RNA is filed under the name uncultured bacterium. Its description in RNAcentral is "partial 16S ribosomal RNA". It matches the Rfam family "Bacterial small subunit ribosomal RNA", at positions 28 to 507 of the family's 1533-position model. The record is from RNAcentral.